This 455-nucleotide ribosomal RNA is filed under the name uncultured bacterium. RNAcentral describes it as "bacterial SSU rRNA". It matches the Rfam family "Bacterial small subunit ribosomal RNA", at positions 340 to 786 of the family's 1533-position model. The record is from RNAcentral.
UACGGGAGGCAGCAGUGGGGAAUAUUGCACAAUGGGCGCAAGCCUGAUGCAGCCAUGCCGCGUGUAUGAAGAAGGCCUUCGGGUUGUAAAGUACUUUCAGCGGGGAGGAAGGCGAUGCGGUUAAUAACCGCGUCGAUUGACGUUACCCGCAGAAGAAGCACCGGCUAACUCCGUGCCAGCAGCCGCGGUAAUACGGAGGGUGCAAGCGUUAAUCGGAAUUACUGGGCGUAAAGCGCACGCAGGCGGUCUGUUAAGUCAGAUGUGAAAUCCCCGGGCUUAACCUGGGAACUGCAUUUUGAAACUGGCAGGCUUGAGUCUUGUAGAGGGGGUAGAAUUCCAGGUGUAGCGGUGAAAUGCGUAGAGAUCUGGAGGAAUACCGGUGGCGAAGGCGGCCCCUGGGACAAGACUGACGCUCAGGUGCGAAAGCGUGGGGAGCAAACGAGGAUUAGGAUACC